RNAcentral lists this long non-coding RNA (352 nucleotides) under Papio anubis (olive baboon). RNAcentral's name for it is "lncRNA (ENSPANG00000045125.1)". Lineage: Eukaryota; Metazoa; Chordata; Mammalia; Primates; Cercopithecidae. The record is from RNAcentral.
AUUAUCCUAUUUUUAUUGAUGAAAAAAUUACAUUUAUUUAGUGAUGAUGGAACUUUUGACAGAAUUAUAAGGGUUCACUUUUUUUGUUGUUUUUAAUCAAAAUAUUGAUUUAUAUGUUUGAUUUCUUCGUGACAUAGUCACUUGGAUGCGCUAUUCCAGGAUACCAUAUAUUGGGUGUUUAAACAACAAACAUUUAUUUCUUUCAGGUUGGAAGGCUGGGAAAUACAAGAUCAAUGUACUAGCAGAUCUGGUGGUCCAGCUGGCUUUCUUCUUGUAUCCUCAUAUGGCACAAAGAGAGAGCACUCUGAGAUGGGAUUUCACCGUGUUAACCAGGAUGGUCUCCAUCUCCUGA